RNAcentral lists this ribosomal RNA (453 nucleotides) under uncultured bacterium. Its description in RNAcentral is "bacterial SSU rRNA". It matches the Rfam family "Bacterial small subunit ribosomal RNA", at positions 349 to 793 of the family's 1533-position model. The record is from RNAcentral.
CAGCAGUAGGGAAUCUUCCACAAUGGACGAAAGUCUGAUGGAGCAACGCCGCGUGAACGAUGAAGGCCUUCGGGUCGUAAAGUUCUGUUGUAAGGGAAGAACAAGUGCCGCAGGCAAUGGCGGCACCUUGACGGUACCUUGCGAGAAAGCCACGGCUAACUACGUGCCAGCAGCCGCGGUAAUACGUAGGUGGCAAGCGUUGUCCGGAAUUAUUGGGCGUAAAGCGCGCGCAGGCGGCCUCUUAAGUCUGAUGUGAAAGCCCCCGGCUCAACCGGGGAGGGCCAUUGGAAACUGGGAGGCUUGAGUAUAGGAGAGAAGAGUGGAAUUCCACGUGUAGCGGUGAAAAUGCGUAGAGAUGUGGAGGAACACCAGUGGCGAAGGCGACUCUUUGGCCUAUAACUGACGCUGAGGCGCGAAAGCGUGGGGAGCAAACAGGAUUAGAUACCCUGGUAG